GCUCCGGUAGCUCAGUUGGAUAGAGCAGCCGCCUCCUAAGCGGCAGGUCGGACGUUCAAAUCGUCUCCGGGGCACCA
This 77-nucleotide transfer RNA is filed under the name Cellvibrio japonicus. Its description in RNAcentral is "tRNA-Arg". It matches the Rfam family "tRNA". Rfam says of the family: Transfer RNA (tRNA) molecules are approximately 80 nucleotides in length. Their secondary structure includes four short double-helical elements and three loops (D, anti-codon, and T loops). RNAcentral also lists the same sequence under 5 other names. Lineage: Bacteria; Pseudomonadati; Pseudomonadota; Gammaproteobacteria; Cellvibrionales; Cellvibrionaceae. The record is from RNAcentral.